AGCACAACCCGUGAUGUGGUUGUUUUUAUCAUAAUUAUUUGAUAAUAGGGCAAUAUUUUAUUGUCCUUUUUUAUUU
Yersinia mollaretii ATCC 43969 is the source of this 76-nucleotide non-coding RNA. Lineage: Bacteria; Pseudomonadati; Pseudomonadota; Gammaproteobacteria; Enterobacterales; Yersiniaceae. The record is from Rfam.